CCUACGGGAGGCAGCAGUGAGGAAUAUUGGUCAAUGGACGAGAGUCUGAACCAGCCAAGUAGCGUGAAGGAUGACUGCCCUAUGGGUUGUAAACUUCUUUUAUAUGGGAAUAAAAUGUUCCACGUGUGGGAUUUUGUAUGUACCAUAUGAAUAAGGAUCGGCUAACUCCGUGCCAGCAGCCGCGGUAAUACGGAGGAUCCGAGCGUUAUCCGGAUUUAUUGGGGUUAAAGGGAGCGUAGGUGGAUUGUUAAGUCAGUUGUGAAAGUUUGCGGCUCAACCGUAAAAUUGCAGUUGAAACUGGCAGUCUAGAGUACAGUAGAGGUGGGCGGAAUUCGUGGUGUAGCGGUGAAAUGCUUAGAUAGCACGAAGAACUCCGAUUGCGAAGGCAGCUCACUGGACUGCAACUGACACUGAGGCUCGAAAGUGUGGGUAUCAAACAGGAUUAGAUACCCCUGUAGUC
Molecule: ribosomal RNA, 460 nt
Filed under: uncultured bacterium
Lineage: Bacteria
Description: partial 16S ribosomal RNA
Rfam family: Bacterial small subunit ribosomal RNA
Source: RNAcentral